GACUGAGGUAUGUCCAGUGUGGAGUCGUUUCGGUUUCUUUGUGACAUUUGUUCCCAUGUCCCAUUUAUUGUCUUUUCCAUUUCUUGUUGUGAUCUUUGUUCGAUAUAUAAGUCCCCCGUACUUGCUUGUGUUCCGGCCACCACCGCCUCGAAAUCGUGAGCGACUCCGACUAUCAAACAACUGAGUGAUACACAUAAGAUACAACCCCACAUAUUCAUUGACAUUUUUCAGAUACUCUUCUUGUUGGUUUGAAAUAGUCUUCGUAAAGUCUGUGCUGGAAUUGAAUCAUUGCGGAAGAAAGAAAUCAAGCUUGAUUACCGAAUUCAUUCUGAUUCGUUCUUUUUCAUGUUAUGAGUGAUGCUGGUGGACGACCGACUGGGACUUCAUUUCAGGGAAAAGUUUAAUCGAUGUUUUUGUUGAAUUAAGUUGGGAGCCAGGCGAAUGAUAAUAUGCCACUUGCCGCCGCUGCAAUGCCACCCAUUACAAAGGCUGGACCUAUUCACGAAGAACACGAUUGAAAUGGUAGAGUACAUGGCAAUCUCUACUAUCUUCAAGCACCUUCUAUACUCCCUGUUACUGUCACUCCCACCAUUGACAUUUAGCAUUGGCGGCUUGGACACCCUUCUCGUCAUAGAGUAUUAUAAAUAGCUAAGAUUUUUUCAUCUGUUUCUUAUUCAAAUAACUAUGAGCGGGACAUUUACCCACGAGCAAAGCAACUGAGACUAAGUUUUCCCAACAGUUCCAUUUCAUCUA
This is a long non-coding RNA of Rhododendron vialii, 753 nucleotides long. RefSeq lists it as uncharacterized. The record is from RefSeq and is a predicted model, not a curated record. The transcript has 3 exons. NCBI's taxonomy places the organism in Eukaryota, Viridiplantae, Streptophyta, Magnoliopsida, Ericales, Ericaceae.